RNAcentral lists this ribosomal RNA (426 nucleotides) under Staphylococcus aureus. RNAcentral describes it as "bacterial SSU rRNA". It matches the Rfam family "Bacterial small subunit ribosomal RNA", at positions 171 to 584 of the family's 1533-position model. The record is from RNAcentral. Lineage: Bacteria; Bacillati; Bacillota; Bacilli; Caryophanales; Staphylococcaceae.
GGAUAAUAUUUUGAACCGCAUGGUUCAAAAGUGAAAGACGGUCUUGCUGUCACUUAUAGAUGGAUCCGCGCUGCAUUAGCUAGUUGGUAAGGUAACGGCUUACCAAGGCAACGAUGCAUAGCCGACCUGAGAGGGUGAUCGGCCACACUGGAACUGAGACACGGUCCAGACUCCUACGGGAGGCAGCAGUAGGGAAUCUUCCGCAAUGGGCGAAAGCCUGACGGAGCAACGCCGCGUGAGUGAUGAAGGUCUUCGGAUCGUAAAACUCUGUUAUUAGGGAAGAACAUAUGUGUAAGUAACUGUGCACAUCUUGACGGUACCUAAUCAGAAAGCCACGGCUAACUACGUGCCAGCAGCCGCGGUAAUACGUAGGUGGCAAGCGUUAUCCGGAAUUAUUGGGCGUAAAGCGCGCGUAGGCGGUUUUUU